This 75-nucleotide small nucleolar RNA is filed under the name Salmo trutta (river trout). RNAcentral's name for it is "Small nucleolar RNA SNORD59 (ENSSTUG00000049137.1)". It matches the Rfam family "Small nucleolar RNA SNORD59". Rfam says of the family: U59 belongs to the C/D class of snoRNA which contain the C (UGAUGA) and D (CUGA) box motifs. Most of the members of the box C/D family function in directing site-specific 2'-O-methylation of substrate RNAs. Lineage: Eukaryota; Metazoa; Chordata; Actinopteri; Salmoniformes; Salmonidae. The record is from Rfam by way of RNAcentral.
UCUUCAGUGAUGAUUGAUUUCAGUGACUUUCGUUCUUCUGAUUCUACUGAAGCCAUCCUUCCUGUUCUGAGAAGA